UUCCCUGUGUGAUCAAGCUUGCUUGUGUCCAGAUUGUUCUCCUAAGUCAGUUUUACAGCUGAUUUUUUUUUUUUUUAAGUAAUUUCUUGGCCAUCUGUCAAUGAGUGUAAAACACAUGGAGACUAAAAAUCCAUGGACAGUCUGUUCUGAAAAGUCUGGCUUCACAUUCCCUUUCUACUCCAUGCUAGAACAUUUGUAAGCACCACAAAGAGAAUCAACCUCUAUCUUCCAAAUCAGGGUCCAGACCUUUGAGUAAAAAAGCCCACCCAGCAGGUUUUUAAUUGCCUCUACAUCUAACUACCCAAAUAUCCUUGUUAUCUUCUUUUUUUUUUUUUUUUUUUUUUUUUAAUGCUGUGACUCAUCAGACCACCAGGUAAAAAGCCCCAGGUCAGCAAGCCAGCAGCCAGUAUGAGUAUAGAAAGAGAGAGAAUGGCUCUUAAAGUCUCUCAUUUCAAAGAGCUUUUGUAGCUUAUUCUUGCUGAGCAAAAAGCACAUUUUGAGUAGUCCAAUUUAUUGAGAUACCACAAGGCUGAUACAGUUGAAAAUCAGCCUAAUAUGAAAAAAAUAAAUGGACUUUCCAUGCUAAGAAAAACAAAGCUAGUGACAUUUCCUCAGAGCCAAAUAUUUCAUCAGCCUCUGUCUUAGUUCUAGGUCAUGUGUCAACAAGAGGGUUGUUUAUUUUUUAAACCAUGUGUCACAUGACCCAAUAGCAUCAUCUAUAAUAAUUUUCUGGAGUGUACCAGACAACCAGGACCCUCUCUGGAACACAAAUACUGAGACCAAGUCAAAUCAGCAGCUGUCUGUGUUUCUGAAUGAGCUUUUGUAAUUUAAAUGUCUCAUUCCAUUGGGAACUAAGGGAGGUGACAUAACCCAGAAGAAGCUCGGAAGUGAGAGUGUUUGUGGGGGUGGCUGAACUCUGUGACCUUUUUGGUCUGCCCUCCAAUUCUGUCUCUGGGAGUCAAUGAAUGUACUUCAGUUUUUGGCGCUCAGGACAAGCUUCUUGGGAGGUUUAUUUGAAAGAAAGAGAAAAGUGAAGCUUCAAGUAGGUCAAAUUGAAAUGAUGUCUCAAGUG
RNAcentral lists this long non-coding RNA (1072 nucleotides) under Sus scrofa (pig). Its description in RNAcentral is "lncRNA (ENSSSCG00045000509.1)". The record is from RNAcentral. Lineage: Eukaryota; Metazoa; Chordata; Mammalia; Artiodactyla; Suidae.